This 72-nucleotide transfer RNA is filed under the name Fusarium fujikuroi. RNAcentral's name for it is "transfer RNA-Thr(TGT)". It matches the Rfam family "tRNA". Rfam says of the family: Transfer RNA (tRNA) molecules are approximately 80 nucleotides in length. Lineage: Eukaryota; Fungi; Ascomycota; Sordariomycetes; Hypocreales; Nectriaceae. The record is from RNAcentral.
GCCUUUAUAGCUCAGUGGUAGAGCGUUGCACUUGUAAUGCAAAGGUCCAUAGUUCAAUCCUGUGCGGGGGCA